AUGACGUCAAGUCAGCACGGCCCUUACGUCCUGGGCCCACACACGUGCUACAAUGGCAGUGACAAUGGGCUGCAACCACGCGAGUGGAAGCUAAUCUCAAAAACUGUCUCAGUUCGGAUUGCACCCUGCAACUCGGGUGCAUGAAGCUGGAAUCGCUAGUAAUCGCAUAUCAGCAGGAUGCGGUGAAUACGUUCCCGGGUCUU
This 203-nucleotide ribosomal RNA is filed under the name uncultured Rickettsiales bacterium. RNAcentral describes it as "partial 16S ribosomal RNA". It matches the Rfam family "Bacterial small subunit ribosomal RNA", at positions 1179 to 1382 of the family's 1533-position model. The record is from RNAcentral. Lineage: Bacteria; Pseudomonadati; Pseudomonadota; Alphaproteobacteria; Rickettsiales.